CGGGUGACGGAGAAUUGGGGUUCGAUUCCGGAGAGGGAGCCUGAGAAACGGCUACCACAUCCAAGGAAGGCAGCAGGCGCGCAAAUUACCCAAUCCCGACUCGGGGAGGUAGUGACAAUAAAUAACAAUGCCGGGCUAUCUUUAGUCUGGCAAUUGGAAUGAGAACAAUGUAAAUACCUUAACGAGGAACAAUUGGAGGGCAAGUCUGGUGCCAGCAGCCGCGGUAAUUCCAGCUCCAAUAGCGUAUAUUAAAGUUGUUGCAGUUAAAAAGCUCGUAGUUGGAUUUCGGGGCAGGAGGUCUGGUCCGCCGAAAGGCAGGUACUGGACGCCAGCCCUUUUUCUCGGAGGCCCCAUCUGCUCUUUACUGAGUGGUAGGGGAGUUCGGGACGUUUACUUUGAAAAAAUUAGAGUGUUCAAGGCAGGCCGUCGCUUGAAUACGUUAGCAUGGAAUAAUGGAAUAGGACUUCGGUUCUAUUUCGUUGGUUUCUGGGACCGAAGUAAUGAUUAAGAGGGACAGUUGGGGGCAUUCGUAUUCAAUUGUCAGAGGUGAAAUUCUCGGAUUUAUGGAAGACGAACAACUGCGAAAGCAUUUGCCAAGGAUGUUUUCAUUAAUCAAGAACGAAAGUUGG
RNAcentral lists this ribosomal RNA (629 nucleotides) under Spongilla lacustris. Its description in RNAcentral is "SSU rRNA". It matches the Rfam family "Eukaryotic small subunit ribosomal RNA", at positions 356 to 993 of the family's 1831-position model. The record is from RNAcentral. Lineage: Eukaryota; Metazoa; Porifera; Demospongiae; Spongillida; Spongillidae.